UGGAUGAUGUGGUUAAUUCGAUGCAACGCGAAAACUUACCACUUUGACAUGUACGGAACCUUUAGAGAUAGAGGGUGCUCGAAAGAGAGCCGUAACACAGGUGCUGCAUGGCUGUCGUCAGCUCGUGUCGUGAGAUGUUGGGUUAAGUCCCGCAACGAGCGCAACCCUUGUCAUUAGUUGCUACAUUCAGUUGGGCACUCUAAUGAGACUGCCGGUGACAAGCCGGAGGAAGGUGGGGAUGACGUCAAGUCCUCAUGGCCCUUAUAGGUGGGGCUACACACGUCAUACAAUGGCUGGUACAAAGGGUUGCCAACCCGCGAGGGGGAGCCAAUCCCAUAAAGCCAGUCGUAGUCCGGAUCGUAGUCUGCAACUCGACUACGUGAAGUCGGAAUCGCUAGUAAUCGUGGAUCAGAAUGUCACGGUGAAUACGUUCCCGGGUCUU
Molecule: ribosomal RNA, 442 nt
Filed under: uncultured Rhodoferax sp.
Lineage: Bacteria; Pseudomonadati; Pseudomonadota; Betaproteobacteria; Burkholderiales; Comamonadaceae
Description: bacterial SSU rRNA
Rfam family: Bacterial small subunit ribosomal RNA
Source: RNAcentral